CUCUCUUGGUGACCGUCCCCUCAUUGAUGAACUGUGGGGCUAGGUGGUCUCCAGGAUGAGUAUUUAUCACCUAUAUCCCCCACCAUGGCAGCUGAAGGGUUUACACCUGUAGGAUACAUAUACGUGCCACAUGCGAUGGCCCAUAGAACGCCUUAAAAUCCUGUUUAUUCAUCCGUCCUUAUAAUGGACCCAUAUCCCUACAGAUGGCAAACCAUGGCCAGGCAGAGGCUGAUUUCUUCCCCAGGCCACAGAGCCAAGGAAGCCGAGCUCCUGCCUCCCAAGCUAGGUUUCUGCUCACGGUCAACGGGGCCACCCUUCCCCCUGGACACGUGCGGCGCUAUGGUCCUGGCCCCACCCCAGCAGCCCCAUUACUCACCAAGACGGGAAAGUAGUCCCUCAUGUACUUCCAUAUGUGCCAGUGCCUUAUGGAAUCUAAACGCCUGCCCCCCCGGCGUGGCCUGUCUCGUUCCAGGUACCACCAGAAUGUAUACAGGAUACUGAUGAACCAGAAUCUUGUGAACAGGAGUCCGACGAAGAUUGCGGUGCAGAUCUGGGCUGAGGAGGGCAGCAGGAGCUGUGAGUGGUCACAGCCCGCCUUACGCAGGAAAAAGACGGAGAAGACCCAUUGGACGGUCACAAGAGUCUGCAGCCUGCGCUCCCACGGCACGAACAAGGGUGCGAACUCCACCAUACUGGCUCUGGCUCUGGAUGCUUCUCUGAGCUCUGCUGUGUUUGGAGACACCUGCUGGCUUUUGUUGCUGGCAGAGAUUGUGUAAGUAUUUGUGGGGGUGGGAGGUGGUUGUCCAGCCCAGUCCUAAAUCCUCCAGCCCCCACGUGGCAAGGAACCCAUUCCUGCAAGAAACCUUUGAAAUGACUUGCCUGGGACCCAGCUAAGGGUGAAGGAAAUAUACGUUUCAUUCCUCAGGCAAGACCUUAUCUGCCAGAUCACCUUUGCUCAAAUUGUGCCCUUGCCUUAGCAAGAGAAGCCCCAAAUACUGUGCACUCCUGUCCUGUUCACAUUCACCCAGAGGCCUGGCUGCAGUAAUUGCCUCUUCUCUCCUGCCAUGUCCCCGAUUCUCCAUCCACAAAUAUGCGGUCACAACUCCCAACUAAAAAUCCCUUGGCCCCACCAUCUCCUCCGCCUCCCUCCCUCUCCCUAGGCUCCCCUGCACAGCAGGACUCCUGGAAGAGGCCCUGCAUUCCCCACGCCCCUCCCCGCCCCUCCCCUCCCCUUCUGGCCUCCCUCCCCCCCACUUCAGAUCCACUGCUCCCAGGAGCUGCCCUGGGCAACUUCACACCCGGCCACCGCCCUGCUGCUUCAGCCAGUGGUCCAAGCCCAGCUCUCAUCCUGACGUCUCCGCAGCCUUCGUUCGACCCCGGGGGUCACUGCCUCCUCCUUGAAACCACUUGGCCUCUGGAGCCCCCCUCUCCUGCUUCCCUCCU
This 1443-nucleotide long non-coding RNA is filed under the name Sus scrofa (pig). Its description in RNAcentral is "lncRNA (ENSSSCG00015025305.1)". The record is from RNAcentral. Lineage: Eukaryota; Metazoa; Chordata; Mammalia; Artiodactyla; Suidae.